RNAcentral lists this long non-coding RNA (9599 nucleotides) under Zostera marina. Its description in RNAcentral is "long non-coding RNA (ZMAR_LNC006118)". Lineage: Eukaryota; Viridiplantae; Streptophyta; Magnoliopsida; Alismatales; Zosteraceae. The record is from RNAcentral.
UUAAACCUAACUCCAAUUAAUUAAUUAAUCAUUUGAGUUAAGGGUUUAAAUCAAAGUUAAAAGUCAAAUUGGAAGAAUUGCAUUUUCACCUUGAAUAUUAUUAUUUGGAAUAAUUACAUGUCUACCUUGAAUAUUAUUAUUAUCUUUUGACACUUUAUUCAAAAUAUAAUAUUCCAAGGGGACAAAACACUAUUCAUGGUUGAAUUAUUCAAAGAUAAGAUUCUUCAAGGACAACACACUAUCCAAAGAGAUAAGACCAACACACUAUCCAAGAAUUCAAGAUAAGAUCAAAGACAAAGCUUGGAUUUUUGUGAGAAAUCAAGGAGCCAUCCAUUGAAGAUCCAAGGGUGGACAUUGAGUGGCCAAGGCUAUAAAUAAAAGGGUAAUCCCCUCAUUUUCACUCACCACACUACAAGCAAACUCAAGAGCUUUCACUCCACACUUGCCCACACGUUUUUGCCUCCAAGCUUCCAAGAUUUCAAGUGCUCAAGUGUCCUAGCUUUCCAAAGUUUCAAAAGCUCUCCAACUUCUUCUAAUCUUCUUGUUUAUCUUUACAAUUAAGAAGUGUUGUUUGCUUUAAUAUUCCACUCCUCUAAUCACCUCUUGUGUGUGUCCACUUUGGUUGAGAGGGUUGUCUCAAUAGUACCAAAGUGUGAGAGAAGGUUUUCGAGCUCAACCAUAAAGCUCUAGUUUGGUUUUAUAGAGUUUCUUAAGAGUGUCAUUGAUACUCUAAUGUGUGAGUCUACCCGUAAAAGACUGGUUCCUAAGCGAAGUAGCCUUAAAACUUAGAGAGGUUCUUAAGAGUUUCCUUGAUACUCUAAGGUUUUGCCAUAACCUUUAGGCGAGUGAAUUCCGACAGUUGGUCGGGACUGGAUUAGCCCUUGUUUGGGUGAACCAGUAUAAAUCUCUUGUGUUGUUCUUUGUUAACUUUAGUUUUUAUCUUUCAUCUAAAAACAACUAAACAACACUAAAUUGAAAAGGAUCCCUCUUCCAGUUAUCUGGUCAAAUACAGAGGUUGACUACUUUACGCAGAUCCCUCAUCCAGUUAUCUGGUCAACUAUCUGAGGUUAUAUUCAUUGCCUUAAAUCUUUAUUCAUAUAUUUGUUCAAGCAUUUACUUAUCAUAUAUAUAUCCAGUUAUCUGGUCAUAUCUUGCUUAUCAAAUAUAUAUCCAGUUAUCUGGUCAUUUACUCUAUAAUAUAACUUGUGUUUAUAAUAUAAUUUAGUAUUCAUAUAUUAUAGUUGUUUAUAAAACACCAUCUGAAAAGUUGACUACAUAUUCAUAUACUGUAGUAAACUUCAAGAGCAAAAGGCAAGUCCAAUAUAUAUAAUAUUAUAAGAUAUAAUAUUAUAUUCUUUAAAAUCAUAUAAUAGUAUUAUAUUGCUAAUAAUAUUAUACUAUUAUUAUUAUACAACCAUUUGUGUACUUAAGUGUGUGCAGGUAAUUCCGCUAUUAAUCUGCAUAAAUCAAAAAGAGGCUAUUAUCCCCCUUAUAGCCUCGGAUCACGAUCCAACAAGUGGUAUCAGAGCCAAGUACCGUUGAAGUUUGACUAACAUCUUACAACAACAACUAUGGCACCAAAUGGUGAAUUCAACACUGGUCUUGCGUCAAACAAACCUCCCAGGUUCGAUGGAGUAAAGUAUGACUUCUGGAAGAACAAGAUGAAGUUAUACUUGAAGUCAAUCAACAAUGAAGUAUGGAAGAUCAUAUUAGAGGAUUAUGAAAUUCCAACAAGCAUUGAAGAGACUUGGGGAGAAAUGGACAUCCUCAAGGAAAACAACAACUCAAGAGCAUUGAAUGCUCUAUAUGGAGUACUCAAUGAAUCUGAGUACAACAGAAUUCGAUGCUUGGAUACAACUUAUAAGNNNNNNNNNNNNNNNNNNNNNNNNNNNNNNNNNNNNNNNNNNNNNNNNNNNNNNNNNNNNNNNNNNNNNNNNNNNNNNNNNNNNNNNNNNNNNNNNNNNNCAUGCUACCUCUCAGUUCGAAAGAUUCUCUAUGAAGGAAGACGAGACUAUCACAGAGAUGAACAUUAGACUAUCACAAAUAGUUAAUGAUCUGGUUGGACUAGGAGAUCCAGUAACUGAGAAGAAGCAAGUAAGCAAAAUUUUGAGGAGCCUUCCAAACAAGUACUACUCCAAAAGGAAUGCUAUCCAAGAGACUCAUGAUCUCAACAAACUUACAGUUGUGGAACUCUGUGGAAAUCUGAUGGCUUAUGAAGAAGAAAGAUUCAUCUCUAGAGCUAGAGAAGAGAAAAAGGAUAUUGCUCUUAAAAGUCAAUCUGACAAUGAAACAUCAGAAGAUGAUCCAGCAAUGAUCACCAAUCAUCUGAGAAGAAAGACUCAAGGUCAAGUCAUCAGAAGUUCGACAGAAGAAUGAGCAAGGAGUCAAAAGAACCAUUAAUCUGUUAUCUAUGCGACAAGUCUGGACAUAUCAAACCAGAAUGUCCUCUGCUAAAGAAAGAAAGNNNNNNNNNNNNNNNNNNNNNNNNNNNNNNNNNNNNNNNNNNNNNNNNNNNNNNNNNNNNNNNNNNNNNNNNNNNNNNNNNNNNNNNNNNNNNNNNNNNNCACAAUGGACAAACUCUGACUCGGAUCAAGAAGAUUGUCUCAUGGCUCAUGAAAGCAACUCUGAGGUAAGUUUUGCAAAUACUAGAUUUAAUUCUUUAGAAGAAGCAUAUCUAGAAUUAAUGAAAAAAUGAAAAAAUGAAAAAAAAUUAACUAAGUCAUUAAAACUAGAAUGCAUGAAUAAAUCACAUAUAGAUCAAUCUAUUGAAUUAGAAGAAUCACAAAAAGAAUGCAUGCAAUUGAAAGAAAGAAAUCUAAAACUCACAAGUAAAUUAAACAAAGAUGAAGAAAAAAUUAAGAUACUUAAAAGUCAAAACUUUGAAUUGCUUAACAUUUUAAAAUAUGAAGAAAAUCAACCUAAGGAAAUAGAUGAUGAUAAGAUUGAAUUGCUAGAAUUAAGAAUAGAUAAUUUUGAAGAAGAUAUUAUGUUAAAAGAAAAAGAAACAAUCAUGCUCAAAACAGAAAUAGAAUCUAAGGACAAAAUCAUACUUGAGCAUGUAGAAACCAUACAAAAAUUAUCUGAAAAAUGUAAUGAUAUGCAAUUACAAAUCAAAAGAAUAAGUCAGAAGAAUAAUGUUCUUGAAAAAUUCUUAAAUAGUUCAUCUAAGCAAAAUGACAUGUUGCAAGGUUCAAGCUCAGGUCAAAAGAAAUUUGGCUUAGGGUUUGAAUCAAAUGCACCUAUUAAAAAACCUUUACAUGCUUUAACUUAUAAUAAUUAUUUUGUAAGAGAAUCUAGCUACAUAAAACCUAUUCAUCUUAAGAAAAAGAAAAAUCUAUCUAAGAUGAAUCAUCCAAAACAAAAAUGGAUGACCAAGGAUGAGUUAAAAAAUUAUACGCAAAUCAACUAUGUUAAUUCAUCUGAACCUAACUCAGUAUGGGUACCAAAAGGUUAUUCAACUCUUUCAGGAAAAACAUGUGUCAAAAUGGUUGUUCGACAGUGGAUGCACAAGGCACAUGACUGGAGAUUCAAGUCUGCUGACAGACUUGACCGACUGGCCUACUACUAAGAAGGUCAAGUUCGCCGAUAACAACGAAGGUACCAUUAUAGGUAGGGAUAAUAUAGAUAAUAUAGAUAGACCAUUUCUUAGAGAUGUUUGCUUAGUUAAUGACCUUAAACAUAAUCUUAUCAGCAUAAGCCAAUUAUGUGAUAAUGAUUGCACAGUUAAAUUUGAAAAACAUCUAUGCUCAAUCAUUAACUCCAAGGGAGUUAUAAUUGCUAAAGGAUAUAGGAAAAACAAUGCUUAUUCCAUAACCUUUAAUCCCUCCAAGCCAACUCAUGACUUCUGCAUGAUUGCAGCAAGUGAUGAAAAGACUUUAUGGCAUAGAAGGUUAGGUCACACUAGUUAUUCUCGAUUAUCCAAACUAUCAAAAGAAGAACUGGUGACUGGACUGCCUAAAAUAGCAUAUGAGAAAAGUAAUCUCUGUGAUGCUUGUCAAAAAGGGAAACAACAUAAAAGCUCAUUCAAAUCCCUUACAGAUAUUACUACGUUCAGACCUUUGGAACUUCUACACAUGGACUUAUUUGGGCCAACCCAAACCCAAAGUUUUGGCGGUAAAAGGUUUACGUAUGUAAUAGUAGAUGAUUACUCAAGAUUUACUUGGGUUUUCUUCUUACGAAAUAAAAGUGACUCAUUCAAUGAGUUCUCAUCAUUUUGUAUACGUGUACAAAAUGAGAAGGAUGUCCUCAUAAAAAGAAUUAGAAGUGAUCAUGGAGGAAAAUUCGAGAACUCUGAGUUUGAAGAAUUUUGCAAAACUCAUGGAAUAAAACAUGAAUUUGCUUUUCCCCAAGCACCUCCUCAAAAUGGAGUUGUUGAAAGGAAAAACAGAACUCUACAAGAGAUGAGUAGAUCCAUGUUACAUGAACAUGAUUCACCACAGUAUCUCUGGGCAGAAGCUGUUAACACAGCCUGUUAUAUAUUAAACAAGGUGAUUAUUAGAAAAACCUUGAACAAAACUCCAUAUGAGAUCUAGAAUGGAAGAAAGCCAAAAGUCUCAUACUUCAAGGUCUUUGGAUGCAAAUGUUAUGUUCUCCGAACAAAAGGCAACCAAGACAAAUUUGCUCAGAAAUCUGAUGAAGGUAUCCUGGUAAGAUACUCUAGAAGGAGCAAAGCCUACAAAAUUCUUCUCAAAGAAAAACAAAUAAUGAUCGAAUCAUUACACAUUGACUUUGAUGAAUCCACUCAGACAACCAUUGUAGAAGAAGAUGAAAUAGUUCCAGAACCAGAAAUCAUCAUUCCAACUGAAGAAACUACCAAUGUCGAAAUCGAAGUCUUUGAGCCUCCAUCCAACAGGUUGCUCAGGAACCCACAUUCCACUGAUCAAAUCAUUGGUGACCAUCAAGCUGGUGUUAAAACCAGAUCAUCCAUUCAAAGAAACAGUGUUCUUGACUGUAUUGUCUCUCAAAUUGAGCCCAAGAAAGUUGAUGAAGCCCUCGACGACAACUACUGAAUUCAAGCUAUGCAAGAAGAACUCAACCAAUUUGAGAGAAAUGAUGUAUGGGAACUAGUUCCAAAACCAAAAGAUACAUCAAUCAUUGGGACAAGAUAGGUAUUCAGAAACAAGCUGGAUGAAGAUGGAACUAUAGUCAGAAACAAAGCUAGAUUGGUUGCGCAAGGAUACAAUCAACAAGAAGGAAUUGAUUAUGAUGAAACCUUUGCAUCAGUAGCUAGACUAGAGUCUAUCAGAAUGCUCCUAUCCUUUGCAUGCUACAAGGAUUUCAAAUUAUAUCAAAUGGAUGUAAAGAGUGCAUUCUUGAUUGGAAUAGUCAAUGAACAAGUAUAUGUUAGACAACCUCCCGGUUUCGAAGAUUACAAAAACCCUGAUCAUGUCCUUAAACUUAAGAAAGCCCUCUAUGGUCUGAAACAAGCACCCCAAGCUUGGUAUGAAAGACUAAGAAACUUUCUCAUUUCUUAGGAAUUUAGAAUGGGGAGUAUAGAUAAUACAUUGUUUAUUAAAAAUGUCAAAAGUGACAUUAUUCUAAUCCAAAUCUAUGUUGAUGACAUUAUAUUUGGAUCAACCGAUGAUACUCUAUGUAAGAAAUUUUCCAAACAAAUGGAAGGCGAAUUUGAAAUGAGUAUGAUGGGAGAGUUGACUUUUUUCUUAGGUCUACAAGUCAAAUAGAAGGAGAAUGGAAUAUUCCUAAGUCAAGUUAAAUAUGCUAAGGAAUUGAUAAAGAAAUUUGACUUGGCUGAAUCUAAAUCUAUUCCAACUCCGAUGAGUUCAAUACUUAAAUUGGAUAAAGAUGUUGAAGGUCAAUCAAUGGACAUUAAGAAAUACAGAGGGAUAAUUGGAUCACUGCUAUACCUAACAGCCAGCAGACCAGACAUCAUGUUUACAGUCUGCUUAUGUGCCAGAUUCCAAUCAGACCCAAAAGUGUCACAUCUCAAAGCGGUUAAAAGAAUAAUCAGGUAUAUCAAAGGAACAAUUACACUUGGAUUAUUCUACCCUAAAGACAACUCAUUCACACUGACAACAUACUGUGAUGCUGACUUUGGUGGAUGUAAGACUGACAGAAAAAGCACUAGUGGAACAUGCUUUCUGUUGGGAAGCUCACUCGUAGCAUGGUCAUGUAAAAAGUAAAAUAGUAUUGCUUUAUCCACAACUGAAGCAGAAUAUAUGGUAGCAUCUAAUGCAUGCCCUCAAAUUUUGUGGAUGAAAUAAACAUUAUCCGACUACGAUAUAGCUUUAGAAACAGUAGCUCUUAAAUGUGACAAAAAGAGUGCAAUUUGUUUAUCAAAAAACUCUGUGUUACAUUCAAGAUCUAAACACAUUGAUGUCAGACAUCAUUUCCUUAGAGAUCAUGUAGAAAAGAAAAAUAUCUGCAUAGAAUAUAUUUCUACUGAAGAUCAAAUGGCUGACAUCUUUACUAAACCCUUAGAUCAAGAAGUUCAUUCAAAAAUCAGAAGAUCUAUGGGUAUAUGUGAGCUUAGUGAAAUUUGAUUAGUUAUGAGUUAAUGCAUCUCAAGCUUUAGUCUUAAUAUUCUUCACUUGAAUAUCUUUAUACUUAUAACCUUGAUCAUGAUUACAUUGAAAUGAAUAUACGUAUGCAUGAAUUUACAAAUCUAAGAUUUACAUGACUAAGUAUAUACAUAUAAUUCAUCAUAUGCAUGCAUGAAGAGCUUAACUUGAAUGCAUGACUAUCGUAUAUACCAUGUUUAUAUAUCGAUAAUUUUUAUUAAUUUUUUUAUUUAAAAAUAUUAACAUUAUUAAUUUAUUAAUAAAUUUUUAUUAAGAUUAUAUAUCUUAAUAUAUUUACCUUAGACGGUAUAAUUAAAUCAAAUAAAAUAUUCUCUCAUUUAUAAAUUUAAAUUUUCUCGUUUUUAAUUAAACAAAGAUUCUCAAUAAUCAAAAAUUAUUAUUUGUAAAUAUUAAGUAAUUUAAUGCAUGCAUGCUUACAAUUGAACGCUAUUAAUACAUCGUAUGCUAUAUAAAUAGUUGCUUACAUGGACAUGCUUAUCACUCACAUACAUGAUCUACAAGUGAACAAACGAUGUGUAUACAAUGAAAAUUAUAAUCUUAUGAAAUGAUUAUGCCAAAAUAUGUCAUGUCUUCACUACUGUUUAAAUUGACUCAUGCAUAUGACAUGUCAUCACUUACAUGUAUGGAAAAAUUAUGAAAUUAAUCUUAUGUUGCACCCAUACUGCAUUAUGUCAUAUCUCGAAUAUAAUAUAUUGAGCAAAAUCAACAUCACAUGGUAUUGGUAAUCCAAACCUUACCUCAUGGCAUUGAGAAUCGUCGUCUGCACAUUCUGCAACCUCGAUGCUGCAACUUCAUCCAGCAAACCUGUCGCAACUAGUCACUCACGACAGCUAGAAGCAUGGACUAUCGUGCAUAGUGCAAAGAAUGCGUUGAAGACCACCAAAAAGUAUGUUUUAAAUUAAAUAUUAUUUUGGAUACAAGCCACUAAAAUACAAGCCUUGCUAAGAUCCUAGCUAGCUCUUAGAUGAUAGUUUCGAAAUCUCAUUACUUGUUAAACCUAGCAAGUCAUGUCAGUACAUGGGAAAUCAAAGAACUCUUUUUUGAGAAGGAGACUACAAGAUAAAACGAUUUUUCAUGGCUUAGUCAAAUCAAGAAAUUCUUGGAAACUAAAACAUAAAUUAUUUUUGAAGUUUCUAAGUUUAAAAUAAUUCACUGAAACUUAAGGAUUAAGAUGAUAUUUUUUUUUCCAGUAAAUAUAAAGUUAUGUGAAACUUCAAGGACUUAAACAUAAAUCGUUUAUGAAGUUUUUAAGUUUUAAAUAGAUUAACUAAAACUUAAGGGUCAAAAUGAUAUCUUUACAGUAAAUAAAUAUUUAGUUAAAACUUCAGGGACUUAAAAUUAAUAUUUACAUGAAGUUUUCAAAUUAAAAAGUGCUUAGAAAUAGUUAAUAUUUCCAAGGUUUAAAUGAAAUAUUUCAAGUAUUAAUCUAAGUAUUUAUCAUAACUUCAAAGGGCUUAAAUGAAAUUUUGUUUUAAGUGAAGUUUUACUACUAAGGUUUUAAAGACUGAAAUGAAAAUUUUAAAUCUUUUAAAACUUAGUGAAUAUUUACAUUAUUAUAUUUGUCACUAAGACAUAGAUUUUAAAAUUUUAAAUGCUCAAUUUCUUCUUAAAGCAAUUAGUGAAUAUUAUGGAUUUAUACAUAUCAUUCACUAAUAUCUUAUGGAUUAUAACAUUAUAAAAUCUUAAUUAAUCCAUACAUGUUAAGAUCAUCUUCAUCCAUAACACACACAUGGAUUAUUAUUCAUUGCAUGAUCUUAACACAAGGCAAUUUAAAUUAUCAUAUCAUACUUGCCUUAUAAUGUAUAUCAAAAUUGGCUUCAAUCUAAUAUUUUAUCAAUGAGCAUAAAUUACAUGUUAUUUCUCCUAUAUGAUUGACUAACACUCUUAUAAGCAAGACGUCACAUUUGGUCAACCACACAAAUCAAAUUUGUGAUCAAAGCUCAAUAAGGUAUGAAAUUUUAUUUUCUCCACAAAUUAGAUAUGCCAUAUCAUUAAGGGAGAGAUACUUCACAGGUAUCUAUUUUUAACUUUGUCGAUACCUUAUUGUUUUAAGGGGGAGAAAUCAUGCAUGAUCCACGACUUUUAAAUUGAAUAUUAUGGGUCAAUAAUUCAGGGGGAGCAUGCUCAUAAGGGUAAAAUAGAAUAUUGAUUAGACAUGAAUUAAAACAUAUAUGCCAUCGACAAAGGGGGAGAAUGUAGAAUCAAAAUUGUCGACAUAGGAUUAUAUUUUAAUCAUGUCAAUUUAAACCCUAAUUACACUAUUAAUCAAUAGGGGUUAAAUAAGUCAAUCGAUAUUAAACCUAACUCCAGUUAAUUAAUUAAUCAUUUGAGUUAAGGGUUUAAGUCAAAGUUAAAAGUCAAAUUGAGAGAAUCGCAUUUUCACCUUGAAUAUUAUUAUUUGGAAUAAUUGCAUUUUUACCUUAAAUAUUAUUAUUAUUAUCUUUUGACAUUUUAUUCAAGGUAUAAUAUUCCAAGGGGACAAAACACUAUUCAAUUUUAAAUUUAUACAAAGAUAAGAUUCUCCAACAAACUCUAUCCAAGAAAAGCACUAUUCAAGAUAAGAUCAAAGACAAAGCUUGGAUUUUUGUGAGAAAUUAAGGAGCCAUCCAUUGAAGAUCCAAGGAUGGACAUUGAGUGGCCAAGGCUAUAAAUAGAAGGGUAAACCCCUCAUUUUCACUCACCACACUACAAGCAAACUCAAGAGCUUUCAUUCCAUACUUGCCCACACGUUUUUGCCUCCAAGCUUCCAAGCUUUCAAGUGCUCAAGUGUCCUAGUUUUCCAAAGCUUCAAAAGCUCUCCAACUUCUUCUUCUAAUCUUCUUGUUCAUCUCAUCUUUACAAGUAAGAAGUAUUGUAUGCUUUAAUAUUCCACUCCUCUAAUCACCUCUUGUGUGUGUCCACUUUGGUUGAGAGGGUUGUCUCAAUAGUACCAAGGUGUGAGAGAAGGUUUUCGAGCUCAACCAUAAAGCUCUAGUUUGGUUUUAUAGAGUUUUCGGGAAAACUCUUAGGUCGAAUCUACCUUGAAAGAUUUCUAAGUUUUUAAGAGUUCCUUGAUACUCU